RNAcentral lists this long non-coding RNA (793 nucleotides) under Lonchura striata (white-rumped munia). RNAcentral's name for it is "domestica (Bengalese finch) lncRNA (ENSLSDG00000003943.1)". The record is from RNAcentral. Lineage: Eukaryota; Metazoa; Chordata; Aves; Passeriformes; Estrildidae.
AGGUAUCACUUUUCCCCUUUUCAACCAAAGGCAAGAACUGGCUAGAAGCAAGGUCAGAGAGAAAUCAUUAAACACACCAGAAAUGUGGAAAGCAUCAGAAAUGAAAAGUCAGCCAGCUGUAAAGGCUCAAAGGAAUGUUAAACUAGUGAUGUUCAUGUAAUUACUGUUGCAUUGCUUGUAACAGUGGGUAAUUUUUUUCCUACCUACUGAGUGUAUUGCUUUGUCCCUCAGGUGAUCUUUUUAGUGCCUUGGAUUUUCCAUUCCUGUACUUCUACAGGUUUCAUAGCAGCUGCUGUGCCAGUGGACUGUUGGGAUUCUUUCUGAUGUUGCACACAGUGAAGCUAAAAAGCAGCGCAACCUCAGGGCAAUAUGCAGCCUGGAGUUUCCUUGCAAAGGUUAUCACUGCUAGCUUAUCACCGUUCUUCUUUGUCAUGACCGCCAAUGUUCUAACCAUUUCUUGCCUUGUGAUCGGUGGAGUUGGAGAAGCAUUGCUUGUUUACACUGAAAGGACAGGCACAUAAAGAGGAACCAGAUCUCACCAGUUGGAAAAGAACUGACUUGCAGCCUAGAGACACUAUCACGAAAAAAAAGCAGCAGCAGGAAUGAAGAAGUGCGACCAAACAUGAGGAAAGGGAUCUAUUUUUUUUUUUUUCAAUUAAGAAAAGAACGUGUGCUAUUACUGGUGCUGGUAAGGGAGCAGCAUAGUUGGCAAAGAUGGUAAGGAGCCUUUGCCUCAAAGCACAAGACCAACUAUAUCAGAUUGAUGUGGUAAAUAAAAAACUGCACUGUAUCA